AAAGUAGGACAAGUGGUCGCCAGCGGAGGUUGGAAGGAAUCUUUCAACUCUGUUGGAGGAAAGUCGGGACUUCAUAGGGUAAGCAGGCCGUUAACGGCGGCCUCGGGUGACCGAGGGAAAGUGCCACAGAGAACUAGGUUUCCAAGGAGUGCUUAUGCUCUCUUUGGUAAAAGUGAAACGGUGAGGUAAGAGCUCACCAGCAGGGGAGGUAACUCCCUUGGCUUGGUAAACCCCAGCUGAUGCAAGACCGAAUAGGGAGGCAUUAUGGCGAUUUCAAUUCGCCGUGAUGGGCGUCACCCGCGCUUGAUUCUCCUUGCCAUUGAAGUUUUCUUCGAUUGUGAGGAGGCCUCCGGGUAGUGUCGCAUGAUCCAAUGGGCAACCAUUGGACUAGAUGAAUGACCACUGGCUUAGCGCUUAAUCGUUGAUUUUCGAGUCGCGGUAAAGGUUAAGCGACAGGAUCCCGCUUAUAGUCCUACUUUUUUG
This 483-nucleotide RNase P RNA is filed under the name Bdellovibrionales bacterium. Its description in RNAcentral is "RNase P RNA component class A". It matches the Rfam family "Bacterial RNase P class A". From Rfam's summary of the family: Ribonuclease P (RNase P) is a ubiquitous endoribonuclease, found in archaea, bacteria and eukarya as well as chloroplasts and mitochondria. Its best characterised activity is the generation of mature 5'-ends of tRNAs by cleaving the 5'-leader elements of precursor-tRNAs. Lineage: Bacteria; Pseudomonadati; Bdellovibrionota; Bdellovibrionia; Bdellovibrionales. The record is from RNAcentral.